GGACAAGUGUCCGCAGAGACCUUGGAGGCUGACAGCUCAGGGAUUGUCACCACCACAGCUUCUACGAUAACUUUUUCUUCUGUUUGGAUGCCAGUAUGCUCUCCACGUGAUGCUGAAGUGAGACGUAUGCUGACCAUCCUUCACAGUGGUCGGACUCUCUGACAAUAAUGGGCCAACUUUCCCAGAGCCCGGUUUGUGGCUGCUGUCCUGGGAGCUGGUGGGAUCUGUGAAAGCAUCCUGGGUGGAGUUGGAGUCAGAGAGCAACACCACCUCACUGUCCUGACUUCGCUCUGUCAAAACAAAAGACAACAUGGGUCAUGCUGCCAAUAACAUGGCUGCAGAUAAGAGACAAAAUAACCUUAAAAUGUGGAAUAUUGUAAAUAAAAACAUAGAAAAUGAU
This is a long non-coding RNA of Pleuronectes platessa (European plaice), 400 nucleotides long. RefSeq lists it as uncharacterized. Lineage: Eukaryota; Metazoa; Chordata; Actinopteri; Pleuronectiformes; Pleuronectidae. The record is from RefSeq and is a predicted model, not a curated record. The transcript has 2 exons.